UGGGGAAUUUUGGACAAUGGGGGCAACCCUGAUCCAGCCAUUCCGCGUGAGUGAAGAAGGCCUUCGGGUUGUAAAGCUCUUUCAGCUGGAACGAAACGGUGCGCUCUAACAUAGCGUGCUAAUGACGGUACCAGCAGAAGAAGCACCGGCUAACUACGUGCCAGCAGCCGCGGUAAUACGUAGGGUGCGAGCGUUAAUCGGAAUUACUGGGCGUAAAGCGUGCGCAGGCGGAUUGUUAAGCAAGAUGUGAAAUCCCCGGGCUUAACCUGGGAAUGGCAUUUUGAACUGGCAGUCUAGAGUGCGUCAGAGGGGGGUGGAAUUCCACGUGUAGCAGUGAAAUGCGUAGAGACGUGGAGGAACACCAAUGGCGAAGGCAGCCCCCUGGGAUGACACUGACGCUCAUGUACGAAAGCGUGGG
Molecule: ribosomal RNA, 418 nt
Filed under: uncultured bacterium
Lineage: Bacteria
Description: bacterial SSU rRNA
Rfam family: Bacterial small subunit ribosomal RNA
Source: RNAcentral